RNAcentral lists this ribosomal RNA (141 nucleotides) under Colletotrichum gloeosporioides. RNAcentral describes it as "partial 28S ribosomal RNA". Lineage: Eukaryota; Fungi; Ascomycota; Sordariomycetes; Glomerellales; Glomerellaceae. The record is from RNAcentral.
CCCGGAGCCUCCUUUGCGUAGUAACUUUACGUCUCGCACUGGGAUCCGGAGGGACUCUUGCCGUAAAACCCCCAAUUUUCCAAAGGUUGACCUCGGAUCAGGUAGGAAUACCCGCUGAACUUAAGCAUAUCAAUAAGCGGA